UAGGUAAAAUUUUACAAAUAGGAUUUAAACCAUUUACAUUAUCUAAAACAGAUCAAUAAACCAGGAUUAGAUACCCUGCUAUUUCUGAUAAACUCAUUGGGGGGUAGUAACCGCUAAAUCCCUCAAACCCAAAGAAUUUGGCGGCAAUUCACCAGAUUAGGAGGAGCUUGUUGUAUAAACGACACCACACGACUAACUUACUAUAAACAUGCAUGUAUACCGCCGUAAAAAUUAACCACUAAAAAGUCUUAAUAACCUGACAUUUCCUACCAAUAAAAACAGGCCAUGGUGCAGCGCAUUUUAUAGAAAUAAUGAGCUACAAUUUAUAUUUAAGCAUACAUUAACUAUAAAAAUUAACAAAAGAUGGAUUUAACAGUAACUAAACCUUAGAAUGAUUUAUUGAACCAGCUCUGAAUUGUGCACACAUCGCCCGUCGCUCUUACACAACACAUGGCGCGUCGAUCUAACACAUCGCCCGUCGCUCUUACGGUCCGGCGGCCAUCCCAAACCAACCGUAACCCUG
RNAcentral lists this ribosomal RNA (523 nucleotides) under Typhlocirolana sp. TyALG. RNAcentral describes it as "partial 12S ribosomal RNA". The record is from RNAcentral. Lineage: Eukaryota; Metazoa; Arthropoda; Malacostraca; Isopoda; Cirolanidae.